This is a long non-coding RNA of Protobothrops mucrosquamatus (brown spotted pit viper), 301 nucleotides long. RefSeq lists it as uncharacterized. Lineage: Eukaryota; Metazoa; Chordata; Lepidosauria; Squamata; Viperidae. The record is from RefSeq and is a predicted model, not a curated record. The transcript has 3 exons.
AGGAACCAUUUAUGGACUUCUUGCUGGCAUCCAGACUGAAAUGUUUAUGGAUUUGCAUAUGACUAAGGGAAGAAGAGAUACUAAUUAGCCUUGACUCCUAAUAACUACAUGGACAAGUUUCUUGACAAUGUUUUCAGAAGUGUUUGCCCUUGCCUUCUUCCUAGUGACUGACCAAGCUGGCUUCUGUACUUAAGGGUGCAAUGUGGGAGCCUCAGAAUCAUUCCUCAUUGUGACCAGCUGAUGGUGAUCAAGAGCUUUUUGCUAAAUGUGCAAUAAUAAAAUGACAAAUACAUGAUCCCCC